AAUAUCGUCAUAAUCUAGGUUC
This 22-nucleotide small nuclear RNA is filed under the name Arabidopsis thaliana (thale cress). RNAcentral's name for it is "snRNA_02066". The record is from RNAcentral. Lineage: Eukaryota; Viridiplantae; Streptophyta; Magnoliopsida; Brassicales; Brassicaceae.